Pimephales promelas (fathead minnow) is the source of this 720-nucleotide non-coding RNA. The record is from the annotation of a RefSeq genome assembly. NCBI's taxonomy places the organism in Eukaryota, Metazoa, Chordata, Actinopteri, Cypriniformes, Leuciscidae.
CUCACAGUACGAGAUGUGUGAAUGAUCACUAUAGCAGAUAUUAUUCAUCUGGAUCAGAUCAUGAAGAUCAUACAGCUGCAGAUCUAUCUGUUCAUGUUGUAUCAAGCCUCAGAGAGUCUAACAAACACACCAGUAACUUUAGGAUCUGAUGUGAAUAUAACCUGUGAUAUUGAUAUAGAGGAGAUUUACUGGUACAAACUGAAAUUACCGGAUCCUCCAGAGUUGAUUUUACGCACUUACAGCAACACUCAUGAAGGAGGUAAAUAUGAAAACAGCAUCUAUGAACACAAAUACUCAGUGAAAACUAACAGUCGUCUGUUCAUCAAGAAUAUCACCAUUGAUGAAUUAGGAGUUUAUUAUUGUGUGAAAACUAGUGAACCACUAAAAUUCAGCAACGGCACCAAAAUCGACAUCAGCGACUUUGUCCAAAAUAAUAUUACAGACUCGGUCCACAGGAAUCAGACAGAAGACGCUCCACAACAGCAGAUACCAUGGAGAAAUAUGACCAUCUUAUCUGGCCUCCUGAAUGUGCUUCUGAUCAUUGCAUUAAUAGUGUGUUUCAGGUUUGAUGAAGAUUUUAAUUGAUGCAACUGGAAAAUCUGCUGCUCAAAACUCGAAUAAUCCACAGUGUGCUGAAGAUGAUUUCUUCAUGUGCUCCAGAAACACCAGACCUAGUCAGGAGCAGACCACUACUGUCUACAGACAAUGUACCAGUUUUAC